This 337-nucleotide non-coding RNA is filed under the name Desulfosporosinus sp. RNAcentral's name for it is "T-box sequence". It matches the Rfam family "T-box leader". From Rfam's summary of the family: Uncharged tRNA acts as the effector for transcription antitermination of genes in the T-box leader family. T-boxes are found upstream of many aminoacyl-tRNA synthetase genes and some amino acid biosynthetic genes usually in Gram-positive bacteria. The record is from RNAcentral. Lineage: Bacteria; Bacillati; Bacillota; Clostridia; Eubacteriales; Desulfitobacteriaceae.
AAAAUGACGAUGAGAGGGAAUAGUACAGUCGCGUUUCCGUUUUAGAGAGCUGCUGGUUGGUGAAAGGCAGUAACGGAAUAGAAUUGGAACUCUUCCUCGAGUAGCCGACCGAAAUUGUAAGAAAGUAGGCUCGGACGGAGCUUCCACCGUUAAAAGGAAGGAGAUAUCGGAACUUUGAUGUUAGAAGUUCGAUGUUAGAAGUUCGAUGAAAGAAAUAAUAUUUCUCGUCGGACCCCGACCACCGAAUAACGAAACUUGAUUAUUUCCGUAUCUGCAGAGAAGACAGUUAUUAACUGUCAACUUGAGUGGUACCGCGAACUAACCCUUCGUCUCAAUC